This 179-nucleotide non-coding RNA is filed under the name Peptoclostridium litorale DSM 5388. RNAcentral's name for it is "6S / SsrS RNA". It matches the Rfam family "6S / SsrS RNA". Rfam says of the family: E. coli 6S RNA was the first non coding RNA to be sequenced, but its function was unknown until recently. It consists of 184 nucleotides that fold into an extended hairpin structure with a large single-stranded internal bulge. The 6S RNA specifically associates with RNA polymerase holoenzyme containing the sigma70 specificity factor. The record is from Rfam by way of RNAcentral. Lineage: Bacteria; Bacillati; Bacillota; Clostridia; Peptostreptococcales; Peptoclostridiaceae.
AAGUACCUGGAAUGUUCGAUAGGCUUUAUUUAAAUUCAACCGACACGUUGAAUACGGGAGUUCAAGUCCUUCAAUGUACGUCAUGCCUCCGAUGGAGGAAGGCAGAAAAUGAGGGCAGGACACCCACCUGAGUUAUCUCGGGUAUGAAUUUAUUGAGGCCGCGGCAUUUUGGGUUUUCU